Molecule: ribosomal RNA, 465 nt
Filed under: Vreelandella stevensii
Lineage: Bacteria; Pseudomonadati; Pseudomonadota; Gammaproteobacteria; Oceanospirillales; Halomonadaceae
Description: partial 16S ribosomal RNA
Rfam family: Bacterial small subunit ribosomal RNA
Source: RNAcentral
CCUACGGGUGGCAGCAGUGGGGAAUAUUGGACAAUGGGCGAAAGCCUGAUCCAGCCAUGCCGCGUGUGUGAAGAAGGCCUUCGGGUUGUAAAGCACUUUCAGUGGGGAAGAAAGCCUUGGGGCUAAUACCCUCGAGGAAGGACAUUACCCACAGAAGAAGCACCGGCUAACUCCGUGCCAGCAGCCGCGGUAAUACGGAGGGUGCGAGCGUUAAUCGGAAUUACUGGGCGUAAAGCGCGCGUAGGCGGUCUGAUAAGCCGGUUGUGAAAUCCCCGGGCUCAACCUGGGAACGGCAUCCGGAACUGUCCGGCUAGAGUGCAGGAGAGGAAGGUAGAAUUCCCGGUGUAGCGGUGAAAUGCGUAGAGAUCGGGAGGAAUACCAGUGGCGAAGGCGGCCUUCUGGACUGACACUGACGCUGAGGUGCGAAAGCGUGGGUAGCAAACAGGAUUAGAUACCCCAGUAGUC